Molecule: transfer RNA, 74 nt
Filed under: Canis lupus familiaris (dog)
Lineage: Eukaryota; Metazoa; Chordata; Mammalia; Carnivora; Canidae
Also listed under: 1 other name
Rfam family: tRNA
About the family: Transfer RNA (tRNA) molecules are approximately 80 nucleotides in length. Their secondary structure includes four short double-helical elements and three loops (D, anti-codon, and T loops). Further hydrogen bonds mediate the characteristic L-shaped molecular structure. tRNAs have two regions of fundamental functional importance: the anti-codon, which is responsible for specific mRNA codon recognition, and the 3' end, to which the tRNAs corresponding amino acid is attached (by aminoacyl-tRNA synthetases). tRNAs cope with the degeneracy of the genetic code in two manners: having more than one tRNA (with a specific anti-codon) for a particular amino acid; and 'wobble' base-pairing, i.e. permitting non-standard base-pairing at the 3rd anti-codon position.
Source: Rfam by way of RNAcentral
UCCUGGCUGGUUCAGUUGGUAGAGCAUGGGACUCUUGAUCUCAGGGGCUGUGGGUUCGAGCCCUAUCUUGGGUA